GGACUACCGGGGUUUCUAAUCCUGUUUGCUCCCCACGCUUUCGCGCCUCAGCGUCAGUAUCUGUCCAGACAGUCGCCUUCGCCACUGAUGUUCCUUCCGAUCUCUACGCAUUUCACCGCUACACCGGAAAUUCCACUGCCCUCUACAGUACUCCAGCCAGUCAGUUUAAGAUGCAGUGCCCAGGUUAAGCCCAGGGAUUUCACAUCUCACUUCUCCAACCGCCUACGCGCCCUUUACGCCCAGUAAUUCCGAUUAACGCUCGCACCCUCUGUAUUACCGCGGCUGCUGGCAC
This 292-nucleotide ribosomal RNA is filed under the name uncultured bacterium. Its description in RNAcentral is "partial 16S ribosomal RNA". The record is from RNAcentral.